This 468-nucleotide ribosomal RNA is filed under the name uncultured bacterium. RNAcentral's name for it is "partial 16S ribosomal RNA". It matches the Rfam family "Bacterial small subunit ribosomal RNA", at positions 28 to 507 of the family's 1533-position model. The record is from RNAcentral.
GAUGAACGCUGGCGGCGUGCUUAACACAUGCAAGUCGAACGGAAAGGCCCAAGCUUGCUUGGGUACUCGAGUGGCGAACGGGUGAGUAACACGUGGGUGAUCUGCCCUGCACUUCGGGGUAAGCCUGGGAAACUGGGUCUAAUACCGGAUAGGACGAUGGUUUGGAUGCCAUUGUGGAAAGUUUUUUCGGUGUGGGAUGAGCUCGCGGCCUAUCAGCUUGUUGGUGGGGUAAUGGCCUACCAAGGCGUCGACGGGUAGCCGGCCUGAGAGGGUGUACGGCCACAUUGGGACUGAGAUACGGCCCAGACUCCUACGGGAGGCAGCAGUGGGGAAUAUUGCACAAUGGGCGCAGGCCUGAUGCAGCGACGCCGCGUGGGGGAUGACGGCCUUCGGGUUGUAAACUCCUUUCGCUAGGGACGAAGCGUUUUUGUGACGGUACCUGGAGAAGAAGCACCGGCUAACUACGUG